RNA transcript from Sceloporus undulatus (fence lizard), 4043 nucleotides. It is a transcript of the gene named RNA binding motif protein 19, with no coding region annotated. The record is from RefSeq and is a predicted model, not a curated record. The transcript is spliced from 26 exons. Lineage: Eukaryota; Metazoa; Chordata; Lepidosauria; Squamata; Phrynosomatidae.
AGCGAGCAAGAUGGCGUCGCCCAUGGAGCGGCGUGUCUGCCGCCCGGAGUUUUCCCCCCGCGUUUGAAGCUCAAAGUCGCAACAGCUGCAACAUGUCGCGACUUAUCGUCAAGAACCUGCCGAGUGGGAUGAAGGAAGACCGCUUCCGCAACCUCUUUGCUGCCUUUGGAACCCUGACCGACUGCACCUUGAAGUUCACAAAGGACGGCAAGUUCCGCAAGUUUGGGUUCAUUGGCUUUAAAUCUGAAGAUGACGCCAAAGCUGCCUUGACACACUUGAACAAAAGUUUUAUAGAUACAGCCAAAGUCACGGUUGAGUUCUGUAAAUCUUUUGGGGAUCCACUGAAACCUAGAGCAUGGAGCAAACAUUCCCAAAAGCCACCAGAAGUCAAGAAGUUGCCUGAAAAAUCUGCAAAGAGUCCAGGCCUUACAGAAGCGAAGCAAGACAAAAAGAAGAAGGAAAAUCAAGCAGAGUUAAAAGAGCUGGAAGGCGAGGAGGCCUUUCAAGACUUUCUGGUGGUGCACAAGAAACGGUCUCAGACCGCCACUUGGUCCAACGACACAAAAGUGAAGGAGCCCAAAAAGAGCCAAGCCAAGCCGACGGAUGAUUAUUUGAAUUUUGAUUCCGACGAGUCGGAGAGUCUGAAUGAGGAGGAAGCUGAGUUUGGAGAUGGGGAACAAGAAGCUGGAAUUAACCGAGAGGAAAGCAAAAGUGCUAAAGGAAAGGCAGCAGCCAGGUCAGAGCUGUCGGACAUGGAUUACCUGAGAUCAAAAGUAGUGAAAGAUGUUGAGUCCUCACCUUCAUCUGAAGAAGAGGGCGAUGAUGAGGAAAUGGGUAACAAAGAGCCUAGCGAAGAGGAAGAGGAAGCGAAACCCAGUGCUGAGCAAAAUGCUGGCACUGGUUUUACAGCAGAAUCUGGAGUGGGUGAAAAUAUCAAGGGCCAGAAAAGUGUUGCAGAGAUCAAGAAACUGAAAGCCACAACCCAGGGAAAAGCUCCGGUCAGUGGAAAUGAGCCCACCACACCAUACACAGUGAAGCUCCGUGGUGCACCUUUCAAUGUCACAGAGCAAAACGUGAGGGAGUUUCUUGUGCCACUUCAACCGGUUGCAAUCAGAAUUGCACGAAAUGCCCAUGGGAAUAAAACAGGUUAUGUGUUUGUUGAUUUUAACAGUGAGGAAGAGGUUCAGAAGGCACUCAAACGAAAUCAUGAAUACAUGGGUGGACGGUACAUUGAGCUAUUCCGUGAAGAGUACUCUGCAAAGACAAAGCAUUCCUUUAAGGGUCCGAACCAGACAUGGCAAAGGACAAAGAAAGAUGAUGAGGAAGAUGAAGAUCUCUCUGAGUCUGGGAGACUCUUUGUGAGAAAUCUUCCCUACACCAGUACUGAGGAGGACUUGGAAGUGUUGUUUUCUAAAUACGGGCCGCUUUCUGAGAUCCACUUCCCCAUUGAUGGUCUGACUAAGAAACCCAAGGGCUUCGCCUUUGUUACCUACAUGUUCCCUGAGCAUGCUGUGAAGGCCUUUGCAGAAGUGGAUGGACAGGUUUUCCAGGGUCGAAUGUUACACGUCUUGCCUUCUACCAUUAAGAAGGAGGAAGGAGAGAGCGGCGAAGCUACAGAGGCCUCUUCCUACAAGAAACAAAAGGCAUCUAAGGACAAAGCCAAUAGUUCCAGUUCACACAACUGGAACACACUGUUUAUGGGGGUGAAUGCUGUGGCAGAUGCCGUCGCGCAGAAAUACAAUGCCACAAAGAGCCAAGUGUUGGAUCAUGAGCUCAAGGGCAGUGUGGCAGUGAGGGUAGCUCUGGGAGAAACAGAGCUUGUUCAGAAGGUCCGCCAGUUCUUGCUAGAAAAUGGUGUCAGUCUGGAUUCCUUCAGCCAGGCUGCCGGCGAGCGGAGCAAAACAGUGAUUUUAGUGAAAAACCUGCCUGCUGGAACAGAGGCAGCUGAGCUGGAAGAAGUCUUUGGGACUUAUGGCAGCCUUGGGCGGGUGUUGCUCCCCGAAGGAGGAGUGACUGCUAUUGUGGAGUUUCUGGAACCCACUGAAGCAAAGCGGGCUUUCACAAAGCUGGCCUACUCAAAGUUUCGGCAUAUUCCUCUAUACCUUGAAUGGGCACCAAUGGCGGUCUUUUCUGGCCCUGGAAAGGGAAAGCCAGAGAAUCCUGGAGACAAGGAGGAAGGUGAAGGGCAGGCACAAACUGGCAGUUCUGAAAAAGAAGAAGCUCAAAUGGAAAUGGAGGAGGCCAGAAAGGAGGAGGAGGAGGAGGAUGAAGAAGAUGAAGAUGAAAGCAUUCCAGGGUGUACCCUCUUCAUAAAGAACCUGAAUUUCAGCACUACAGAGGAAACUCUGAAAGAGGUUUUUGCCAAAGCAGGAGCCGUGAAGAACUGCACUGUUUCAAAGAAGAGAGAUAAAGCUGGGACACUCCUCUCUAUGGGAUUUGGAUUUGUGGAAUACAGGAAACCUGAACAUGCACAGAAAGCCCUGAAGCAACUACAGGGUUGUUCUGUGGACGGCCAUCAGUUAGAAGUGAAGUUAUCUGAAAGAGCUGUCAAGUCACCAGUGGCUUCAGCUCGCAAGAAGCAAACCAGCAAGAAGCAAAGGAGUUCCAAGAUCUUGGUGCGCAACAUUCCUUUCCAGGCGACAGUGAGAGAGAUCAGAGAGCUUUUCAGCACCUUUGGAGAACUGAAGACAGUCCGGCUCCCGAAGAAAAUGGUUGGAACUGGGACGCAUCGAGGUUUUGGGUUUGUGGAUUUCAUCACAAAACAGGAUGCUAAGAAAGCCUUCAACGCCCUCUGCCACAGCACCCAUUUGUAUGGCAGGAGACUAGUCUUGGAAUGGGCUGACACGGAGGAAACAGUGGAGACCUUGCGGCGGAAAACAGCUGAGCAUUUUCAUGAUUCCCCAACCAAGAAGAAAAAGCGACCGGUUGUUCUAGAAGAUAUCCUGGACAAACUGGAGGAUGAAGGAGACAGCGAUGGAGAUAGCUAGAGUUCCUUCCCCAAAACUAUGAGGGUGGAAAGGUGGUCUCAUUCCUUCAUCCCUUUCUACGUCGUUUCUCCAAAGGGUAUCCGCAUGGCACAGUUACGGUGCAUUGAUAUCACUUUCCUUUCGUGGCUUUGUCUUGUGGGAUCCUGGAAUUUGCAGUUUGCCAAGGGACUUCAAAAUUCCCUGCCUAGUGCUGUAGUAAUGGAAGUUUUGAGCCGAGGUCGAGAAGACGUUGAUGCCGUGACGUCCGAAUGGAUCCCAUGCUUUAAACCCUCUCCAAAGAAGAGUACGCUGAGAAAGAGUACAGCGAAACUAGGUGGCUGUAAUACUCCUCCAUUGAUACCUUGGGUUCUCUCCUUUCGCUGGAGUAGCAUUAGAGAACACAACAAUGGCAGGGUUUGCCUGCCAACCUGGAGAACUGCCACCUUGGCUUUUUCUAAACCGGGAGAUGCAGCCAACCUUCUCAGAAAACAGCUUAGCUGCAGCUGUGUUCUUAUUUUAUGUUAUUUUUCUCCUUAACAACCUGUACGGUUUUGGAAAAUAAUGUACAUAAUUAAAAGGAAAAAACUAAACAUAUUGCUAAUGAACCCAUCUGGACAUUGAUAGAGAGCACUAUUUAAUAUGAUUUUGCCUAUUAUUGGUUUCGUUGUGUGACGUUCACCUGUUACCCAGGCAUCUCUGCCCACCACCUCUGAGUCUUGGCAACUGGGCAGAUGUGGAAAGCUAAGGGGACACAUUAUUUCCCCGGGGGAAUUUGAAAAGCUGCACAUAAACACCCCACCAAAAAGUUGCCAUCAAAUGCCCUCUGGGGGCAUAAGGUCUUUACAACAACAGGGUGAGAAAUAGUUGCUUACUGUUCCCUUCUUGUUUCAAAAAAGACCUCUCCCGGGCCUAAAUUUGAGGGAACUCCGGGGGGCCACAUGUGACCCAUAGGCCUUGCUUUGCUCACCCCUGUACUGUGCCAUAAGUGCUCAAGUAUAUAGGUGCAAAGUGAGAAUCAUAGUGACAGUGGAGCUGGAAGGGUCACUGGUUUGGAUUCGCAGGAUUGGCAAAGCAAGA